AGGUCACACCGUUCACACCCGUGUGCACGGCAGGAUGGUGCAUCAUGUGAGGGCAUCCUUCAGUGAAGCACGGACGUAUCGGACACCCCUGUAUUUCGAGAUGCAGUUCGAGCAACGAUUGCCAUCUUAGUCGGGGUUCUACGGAAUCAAGCAACCAGGAGGGUCUUGCACUCCGUGCUUGCCGCGCGAUUACCUCGCAGUGUAUCGAUUCUGAAAUAAAAUGUUUCUCUUUUCACGUGA
Molecule: long non-coding RNA, 240 nt
Organism: Ornithodoros turicata
Lineage: Eukaryota; Metazoa; Arthropoda; Arachnida; Ixodida; Argasidae
Exons: 2
Source: RefSeq, a predicted model, not a curated record